This 274-nucleotide ribosomal RNA is filed under the name uncultured Facklamia sp. RNAcentral's name for it is "partial 16S ribosomal RNA". It matches the Rfam family "Bacterial small subunit ribosomal RNA", at positions 505 to 778 of the family's 1533-position model. Lineage: Bacteria; Bacillati; Bacillota; Bacilli; Lactobacillales; Aerococcaceae. The record is from RNAcentral.
GUGCCAGCAGCCGCGGUAAUACGUAGGUGGCAAGCGUGGUCCGGAUUUAUUGGGCGUAAAGGGAGCGCAGGCGGUGACUUAAGUCUGAUGUGAAAGCCCACGGCUCAACCGUGGAAGGUCAUUGGAAACUGGGUCACUUGAGUGCAGAAGAGGAAAGUGGAAUUCCAUGUGUAGCGGUGAAAUGCGUAGAUAUAUGGAGGAACACCAGUGGCGAAGGCGACUUUCUGGUCUGUAACUGACGCUGAGGCUCGAAAGCGUGGGGAGCAAACAGGAU